Molecule: ribosomal RNA, 492 nt
Filed under: uncultured bacterium
Lineage: Bacteria
Description: partial 16S ribosomal RNA
Rfam family: Bacterial small subunit ribosomal RNA
Source: RNAcentral
AGUGAACGCUGGCGGUAGGCCUAACACAUGCAAGUCGAACGGCAGCACAGUAAGAGCUUGCUCUUACGGGUGGCGAGUGGCGGACGGGUGAGGAAUACAUCGGAAUCUACUUUUUCGUGGGGGAUAACGUAGGGAAACUUACGCUAAUACCGCAUACGACCUACGGUUGAAAGCAGGGGAUAUUCGGACCUUGCGCGAUUGAAUGAGCCGAUGUCGGAUUAGCUAGUUGGCGGGGUAAAGGCCCACCAAGGCGACGAUCCGUAGCUGGUCUGAGAGGAUGAUCAGCCACACUGGAACUGAGACACGGUCCAGACUCCUACGGGAGGCAGCAGUGGGGAAUAUUGGACAAUGGGCGCAAGCCUGAUCCAGCCAUACCGCGUGGGUGAAGAAGGCCUUCGGGUUGUAAAGCCCUUUUGUUGGGAAAGAAAAGCAGCAGGUUAAUACCCCGCUGUUCUGACGGUACCCAAAGAAUAAGCACCGGCUAACUUCGUG